AAGUCGUAACAAGGUUUCCGUAGGUGAACCUGCGGAAGGAUCAUUACUAAAAAACUAUUGAGGUUUUUUUAUAUCCCUUUGUUUACUUACCCUGUUGCUUCCACCGGAGGAACAACUUCCUCUGGUGGCAAGAUUCUAUAAAGAAACCUUUUGUGAAUAAAUGUCUGAUAAAACUCUGAAAAUAGAAAUAAAACUUUCAACAACGGAUCUCUAGGCUCUUGCAUCGAUGAAGAACGCAGUGAAAUGCGAUAAGUAAUGUGAAUUGCAGAAUCUCGUGAAUCAUUGAAUCUUUGAACGCACAUUGCGCCCUAUGGUAUUCCGUAGGGCAUGCCUGUCUGAGCGUCAGCUCCCCCACACUCAAGUCUCUUAAUUGAAGCUUGGAUGACUUUAAAGAAGUAGCUGAAAUACAAUAGGCUACUCUUUAGAAAUUCAUAGGCAGUAUGGCACCUGAAUUAGGCGUAAUAAGAAUAUAAAAGCGUCAAUCUUGAGGAAGGUUGUACUUGCCCCAACCCACCCAUUUUCUUUUGGGUGACCUCAGAUCAGGUAGGGAUACCCGCUGAACUUAA
RNAcentral lists this ribosomal RNA (566 nucleotides) under uncultured fungus. Its description in RNAcentral is "eukaryotic LSU rRNA". The stretch from base 192 to 345 matches the Rfam family "5.8S ribosomal RNA". Lineage: Eukaryota; Fungi. The record is from RNAcentral.